This 1965-nucleotide long non-coding RNA is filed under the name Athene cunicularia (burrowing owl). Its description in RNAcentral is "lncRNA (ENSACUG00000000966.1)". The record is from RNAcentral. Lineage: Eukaryota; Metazoa; Chordata; Aves; Strigiformes; Strigidae.
AUGAUGAGAAAUAUGCAUGCUCCUUUGUUUAUUUCUUCUUAUUUUUCUUCAGAGCAAAGAAACAUUCAGAAGAACGUCGAUUUUGAGCGGUAUUUGAGCACUAGAAGUCAAGUAGACAUUUCUCAUAACUGUCUUGAGGCUACAGCAUUCAGUGUAACUCCCAGCCAGACAGCAGAACAAGGCCAGCUGUGUCCCGCACCUCUGUCAGGUGGGAAGAGAGAUCCCGGUCAGAGACAGACUAAUCUCUCCUGCCCUUCUCAGCCAUUCCAGGACACCACCACUCAGUUCACCAGUUCCUGCUUCCUGCAGCAGAAUAAUCUCUGCUCUAGGCUGCAGCAGCAGAGCUCUAAGUGUGUGGCUCAUAGGAUUCCCCAUCUUGCUUUGUCAGUGCUCCCUGCUGUGAAUCUCCCUCAGAGACACUCACGCCUUGAGGCUUAUAGUUUAGAAGGGAGAAGGAAUGAGGAUAUUGACAUUCAUCAACACCACCAUCAGAAGUCAGGGGCAGUUGGUAGCUGCUCCAUACACACUGCUGACCAUCACUGUUUAGAAAAUAGGAACAAGAAUAGUGACUCUUCAGUGGAAAAACAAAAGCAUCAACCUCCUGCUGCUUCUUGUAUGGAUCCUGUGAACCCUUCACCGGUCAAUCCACAUUUGCCAUCUCUUGCAGUAGAUUCCCCUCUUAGGCACAAAUUAGUGGCGUGUCCCUCUUCAGGGAGUUCAGGUGAAAGUGUAAAUGCUUGUCACAGUUCAGCACUGGCCUUGGGAGAUCUCAGUCCAUCUGGUUUGGAGUCCCUUCGGUCUCUUCUGCAAUCUUCACAGAUUUCUGCUGGUUUGUACAGUUCAAUCGAGAGGCUUAAGCAGGAAACUGCUUUGAUGGGGAUGUGGGGCUCCCUCCCUCAGGAGCCCAAGUCUUCCCCAGUCAGUAGCAGUUUGUGCUUUGCUCCUGAUGUUUCACCUCCUAGUAUCCUGAGCACGGGAGAACAGCUAGCUGGAGUAAAGACCAGUGCCACUCAGGCAAGAUUGAAAUGGGGUGUCCCAUUUGCUAAAGACUGGAGCCUUGGUGCCCUGACAAGGGACUUUGGUCAUGUAGAACCUCUCUCUGUCUCUCACAGAUACAGGUACAUUGACUUGAACUCAUGGAGAACCAAAAUUUCAGGUGACAUCCAGCCAGAAACCAUCUCUUCUGGGGUGGGCUCUGGUAGGCUAGUGGAUACAGAAGCAGAUUCCUCCUACAGUUGCUCCCCUUAUUUCAGAUGCCAGUCCCAGGCAAAGCCAACUCUGGAAACUGGUAGUCUUUAUGUUCACACAAAAAGUCAUUCCCCUGAAAAGGUUCUUAAAGGAGAAGAGAUAGUUGGUGGGGCAUCCCCACGUGCUAUAUCUUGGAAGCGAGACCUGCCAGCCAGUCCGUAUCUAGAGGCUCUGCAGGUAUCACUGGAGGCAGAUUUGAGUGGGGCUCAGGUGAACGUUGGUGUAGCCAUGUAUGGGACUCCAAGGGAAGUGUGCAUGAGAGUUGCUUCUCCUCCUGGAGAUAAAGAGUUUAGACCAGUCCAGCAGCUUAGUAUUAAAUCUGUAGAAGUCAGUAACUCUGAACCUCAUGUUAAGUCCAGCAAAGAGUCAGAAAAAGUAUGUGACUCUAGAUCACAAGCAGCCAGAAGAGUGGCAUUUGAAGAAGGCUUUGGUGAAUCUUCUGAUAUAGAUUGUAUGAAUAUGAGCAGAGAAGGAAGGAGAAACAAACACUCCUACCGAAGCAGCUGGAGGAACUGGGAAGCUGCCGCCAAUUUUGACCAGUCUGAAGAACCUUCUGCGCAGAGGAGUGCCAAAGAACCACGGUGCUGUGAAGAAGGGAGCCAGACAAAGGAAACUGUGUCCAGAGAGGUGAGGGUGUGCUCACUGUGUAGCAUCCCUGUUCACAGAUACUGUUUGUACUUGUUUUCGCUUCUUGCUAGAGGCACAGAGUUGAGGUAC